CCUAGCCGUAAACAUUGGUAGUAUUUUACACCCACUACCCGCCUGGGAACUACGAGCAUCAGCUUGAAACCCAAAGGACUUGGCGGUGCUUUAGAUCCACCUAGAGGAGCCUGUUCUAGAACCGAUAACCCCCGUUCAACCUCACCUCCCCUUGUUUUCCCCGCCUAUAUACCGCCGUCGUCAGCUUACCCUGUGAAGGUUAAAUAGUAAGCAAAAUUGGUACAACCUAAAACGUCAGGUCGAGGUGUAGCGUAUGGGGAGGGAAGAAAUGGGCUACAUUUCCUAAUAGAGGAAACACGAACGAUAUGAUGAAAUGCACAUCUGAAGGAGGAUUUAGCAGUAAGCAGGAAAUAGAGCGUCCCGCUGAAACUGGCCCUGAAGCGCGCAC
RNAcentral lists this ribosomal RNA (388 nucleotides) under Nothonotus microlepidus (smallscale darter). RNAcentral describes it as "Etheostoma microlepidum (smallscale darter) partial 12S ribosomal RNA". It matches the Rfam family "Bacterial small subunit ribosomal RNA", at positions 795 to 1386 of the family's 1533-position model. The record is from RNAcentral. Lineage: Eukaryota; Metazoa; Chordata; Actinopteri; Perciformes; Percidae.